This 253-nucleotide ribosomal RNA is filed under the name uncultured bacterium. Its description in RNAcentral is "partial 16S ribosomal RNA". It matches the Rfam family "Bacterial small subunit ribosomal RNA", at positions 524 to 776 of the family's 1533-position model. The record is from RNAcentral.
UACAGAGGUCCCAAGCGUUGUUCGGAUUCAUUGGGCGUAAAGGGUGCGUAGGCGGCGCGGUAAGUCGGGUGUGAAAUCUCGGAGCUUAACUCCGAAACUGCAUUUGAUACUGCCGUGCUUGAGGACUGGAGAGGAGACUGGAAUUUACGGUGUAGCGGUGAAAUGCGUAGAUAUCGGGAGGAACACCUGUGGCGAAAGCGGCGCACUGGACCACUUCUGACGCUGAGGCGCGAAAGCUAGGGCAGCAAACAGG